This 1345-nucleotide long non-coding RNA is filed under the name Sus scrofa (pig). Its description in RNAcentral is "lncRNA (ENSSSCG00070025788.1)". Lineage: Eukaryota; Metazoa; Chordata; Mammalia; Artiodactyla; Suidae. The record is from RNAcentral.
UCACCAACAAAAGAGUUGUACCAGGAUACUUGUAGAAAUUUAAAUCAGCAGAGGGGCUGGAUGACAGCCAGGAGAUGUGCCAAAUAGGUCAACUUGUAAUGAGAGAGAAAAACCACUGAUUUUUUUAAAAAUUAGAACAGAUACAUCAAGAGAAGAAUAAUCCGCUAAUUAAGCCACCAACCUGUCUUGCUGAUGAUGAGCAUGAGCCAAUUCAGAGGUUUUAUUCCUUCCAUGUCGAUCUCUGGGCGAGGCCAGAGCUGCAGAGCUGAGGAAGAGGCAGCCCUGCAGCCCUGAGGGAAGGCAGCGUGCGGAGCGUAGGGGAGGGUGGCAGUCAAAGGCAGCGCCAGCUGCAAGCCUUCUGUGACAGUCUGCGGAUCAGGCUCUGGGCCCCAGGGCCACCAAGGAGGUAGUUUUCCCACUGGCUCCGGAGGUAAUAAAGGAAGGAGGUCAUUCCAGGCUGAGGACACGGCAGAUGCAAGGCGCUGAGGUGCUGAGCCAGCAUAUCAAGUUCUGAGACCUUGAUUCGGAAGGAGAAUCAAGUUCUGGUACUGCUGCCCCUCCCACCCGCCUUGCUCCGCAAACACCAACCUCUUCACUCAACGGCUGUGAAAUUAGACCAUGUCAUCAGGCUAAAUAGGAAAUUGAAUAAUUUAUGCAAAAUGAAAUUCCCACGAAAGGAGGCCUGUUCUUCUAAUGAUUAAGCUUAGCAUCACCAGUGGGCAGCCAGUGAUUGCUCGAGGGAUGGACAGUCCAACGUCGGGAGACUUCAGUCACAAAUCGGACACUUACUGAAUGUGCUUCCUGCCGGUUAUUUAAUGGCUCCAUUUUUCAACUCGUUCGCUUGUAAAAUAACCGUGUUGAACUAGAAUCUGAAUUUUAGACUUGGAAUUGCCCUAAAAUGAAGGGGAGAGGAAGUACCUAUUAUGGACAAGAACGUAAUAGACAGGUGUUAAUCACCUUUAUUCCACAUAGGAAGAAACAUACCUAAAAGGGUAAGAACAUUGACAAGGUGGUGACUGAGCUAGGAUUCAGGCCUCUGCCGUCUGACUCCUUCUCUUUAGGAUUUUGUAGGUUGGGGAAGUGAGGUGUCAGUGGGCUGAAUGAUUUGUGCAGGGUACGUAGCACGUUGGCAGGUUGGCAAGUUAGCAAGUUAUCAAGGUAGAGUUGAGGCCAGAACCCAGAUUUAUUGAUGCCAAUCAUGUUUUUACUUUUUCUCCCUUUUAAAUGUGGGUGCAGAUUCAAAUUAUGUGUAGUCCUCAAUUUAUUGUUGACUAACAUCCAUUAAACCAUUAUUGCUACCAUCUUGGUUUAUUAUAUUUUUCCGUUUCAUUUUCCACCCUCUCUG